GAUUUCUGGUUUGACGGCGCUGACCCGCUUCUUACGAGGUGAGUGUUGGUUGUCGUCUGCCAUCCUUCCAGAAAACUUUCUACCCUUCACUGGGCUGGAUUGGCAAUCUGGAACAUUUACUUUGAAAAAAUUAGAGUGUUCAAAGCAGGCUUGCGCUGUGAAUACAUUAGCAUGGAAUAAUAAUUUAGGGCUUUGGUUCUAUUUUGUUGGUUUCUAGGAUUGAAGCAAUGAUUGAUAGGGAUAGUUGGGGGUGCUAGUAUUAAGAGGCCAGAGGUGAAAUUCUUGGAUUCUCUUAAGACUAACUUAUGCGAAAGCAUU
Molecule: ribosomal RNA, 318 nt
Filed under: uncultured Cercozoa
Lineage: Eukaryota; Cercozoa
Description: SSU rRNA
Rfam family: Eukaryotic small subunit ribosomal RNA (bases 50-318)
Source: RNAcentral